This 453-nucleotide ribosomal RNA is filed under the name uncultured Bacteroidales bacterium. RNAcentral describes it as "bacterial SSU rRNA". It matches the Rfam family "Bacterial small subunit ribosomal RNA", at positions 917 to 1370 of the family's 1533-position model. The record is from RNAcentral. Lineage: Bacteria; Pseudomonadati; Bacteroidota; Bacteroidia; Bacteroidales.
GGGCCCGCACAAGCGGAGGAACAUGUGGUUUAAUUCGAUGAUACGCGAGGAACCUUACCCGGGCUCGAACGGCAGAGGAAUGUGUGUGAAAGCAUACAGCUAGCAAUAGCCGCUGUCGAGGUGCUGCAUGGUUGUCGUCAGCUCGUGCCGUGAGGUGUCGGCUUAAGUGCCAUAACGAGCGCAACCCUUAUCUUUAGUUACCAUCAGGUUAAGCUGGGGACUCUAGAGAGACUGCCGCCGUAAGGUGAGAGGAAGGUGGGGAUGACGUCAAAUCAGCACGGCCCUUACGUCCGGGGCUACACACGUGUUACAAUGGGUGGGACAGAGAGGAGCAAGUUAGCGAUAAUGCGCGAAUCUUCAAACCCGCUCUCAGUUCGGAUCGAAGUCUGCAACCCGACUUCGUGAAGCUGGAUUCGCUAGUAAUCGCGCAUCAGCCAUGGCGCGGUGAAUACG